ACGAACGCUGGCGGCGUGCUUAACACAUGCAAGUCGAACGGAAAGGCCCUUCUUUUGUUGGGUGCUCGAGUUGCGAACGGGUUAGUAACACGUGAGUAACCUGCCCUUUACUUUUGGUUAACUUCAGGAAACUGGGGCUAAUACCGGAUAGGAGCUCCUUCUGCAUGGUGGGGGUUGGAAAGUUUCGGCGGUUGGUGAUGGACUCGCGGCUUAUCAGCUUGUUGGUGGGGUAGUGGCUUACCAAGGCUUUUCCGGGUAGCCGGCCUGAGAGGGUUACCGGCCACAUUGGGACUGAGAUACGGCCCAGAAUCCUACGGGAGGCAGCAGUGGGGAAUAUUGCACAAUGGGCGGAAGCCUGAUGAAGAAACGCCGCGUGCGGGAUGACGGCCUUCGGGUUGUAAACCGCUUUCGCCUGUGACGAAGCGUGAGUGACGGUAAUGGGUAAAGAAGCACCGGCUAACUACGUG
RNAcentral lists this ribosomal RNA (467 nucleotides) under uncultured bacterium. Its description in RNAcentral is "partial 16S ribosomal RNA". It matches the Rfam family "Bacterial small subunit ribosomal RNA", at positions 29 to 507 of the family's 1533-position model. The record is from RNAcentral.